This 1677-nucleotide long non-coding RNA is filed under the name Homo sapiens (human). RNAcentral describes it as "HSALNT0299201". The record is from RNAcentral. Lineage: Eukaryota; Metazoa; Chordata; Mammalia; Primates; Hominidae.
AACGCUAAGUGGCCGCUGGCCAGGGUAGAAGUUAAACCAGGAGAUGGCUGUCAAAUGCAGUUGUUAGGUGUGGCACAUCUUUCUCAAGCUGCUGAGCUGAGCAGGAAAGAGAGACGUUUGUUUAUGGAUUUAUCUCAUCUAUAAGACACUCUUAUUAGAUGAACUCUAUAUCAGUUCUAUGUAGAACUCUGUACCAGUUCUAUAAGGCACUCUUUAAUCUGAAUCUUUUUAUUUGCUCAAGAGAAAAAUAAGUCUGACUUGCAUCCCAUUGAAGAUUUAGAUUGCACUGUUUACAUCUUUCACCUGCGCCGCGGUAGCGUCCUCUACCGAUGCUAUCCUACGUUGAUUUUUCCAGCAACCUGGGAAGCAACCUCAUAGGUGGUUUGGGAUGUCUUUUGGCUGUGCUUAAAAAUUUCCAACAGAUUUGCUACACAUCUUAGGAUAAAUAUGUUUCCUGUGAAUUGUGAUGAUUUCUUACAGUACAUUUGCAAGCAUGUGUAUGCAUCUGCAGGAAACAUAGCCUGGCUCUGUGAAGGAAUACUGCUGUGACCGCAAAACUGUUUCUGUAGAAUUUUCUCCGGUGUGGUCAUCCUGCCUUCAGGAGGAAAAUAGAGCAAAAAGGUAGAACUUACUUCCACACCCAAGUUUCUCCUGAAAGCACUGUGCCUGUUUUGUUUGCUACACAUCUUGGUGCUCCAGCAGAUUACCAGUGAAACAUGCCGACUCUCACCAAACCACCCCAUGUUGCCAAAUCUUCUCUCUUGGCCCUGAUGAUGUGCAACUUAAAACCAAGGUCCAGGUUGACUGCACAGCAGAGUUUACUGUUCGCUCUCUCGCUCUCUCUCCUCUCUCUUUUUUUCUGUAAGCCCAAUAAAUCUGCCCUAUCACGUCAUUGAGGCCACAAGGAAAUGUAAUCCUGCCAAGUGUGGGAGUUAACAAAAACUGCCAAAGUCUUAAGGUUGCAGAGAGAGCAAGAACCACUUUCUGGGUUACGCAUGUCUACUGUGUAUGUGCAGGGGUGCCAUGUCUUCAGGAAAAAGAGGACCUUAGAACUGAAGGAGCAAGAUUCCAACAUCACACUGUUUUUGUUAGCUGUGUGUGUGUGUUUCCUGUGUAUCCAAAAGACAGAGGAGAUGAAAAAGCAAAAGAAAAGAAACGAGGAAUCAGAUUGGAAAGAAGGUUUCUCCAGGACGUCACCUGUAUGAGGUACACAGUGUGAUGACACACUCUGUGCUUUUCCUACUUGUGUCCACGGCUCAAGCCUGGAAGAAGCCUUAGGACGUGGGGGAAAUGUCUAACGUGGAGUCCACCUGCUGAGCAGGACCGGGUGUGAAGGAAGAAGCUUUGUUCUGAUUCCUCAUGGCCCAGCCACCCCUCGCCUGAGCUGAGCCUGGCCACAGGGCCCGCCUGCAGGAAGGGCUGGCCCAUGGCUUCACACUGGGCUCAGGCUGCGCUAAGAGCCCCGGGUGAGGACCUCCAAGCCCAGGAAGCCUCAGUUGGCCAAAGUGCUAGAUGCGUGUGGUCUGCUUUCAUCCCCGCUUCCCUCAGAGCUUGCAUUUUCCAAAUUCAAGAGAGGCUCCACCUUCAAGAAGACCGGCCUGUCCCUGUUAUUUAUGUGUCCCCCUACCAUAUCUCCCUUUGUUCUGCAGAGCGGUACGCAUAAAAAGCUUUUGGGGA